RNAcentral lists this long non-coding RNA (1050 nucleotides) under Piliocolobus tephrosceles (Ugandan red Colobus). RNAcentral describes it as "lncRNA (ENSPTEG00000031438.1)". The record is from RNAcentral. Lineage: Eukaryota; Metazoa; Chordata; Mammalia; Primates; Cercopithecidae.
GACGCUUUAAUAGAGGGGCGAGAUGGCAGAGAGAUGCGCAAACCGGCCACGUGGAGGUCCAGCGCGGUAGGCUCGGGCGCAAGCAGAGGAGCGGGCCGUACGCUCGCCCCUCCCGUUCCAGGGAGCCGCCGAGUGCCGGGUCGUCGCUGACCGCAGGCUGCAAGAGCGGUUGAUCUGGGAAAUUCCUCACUGCCGGACUGCACCCACCCUUGAGGACCUCACAAUCUCUUUGUGCAGAGCAGAAGCCAGACACAGACAGGGACUACGAAGCGACAAUCCCCAGCCCUGUGUGUUCAAGGAGCCCCCGAGGGGCAGGCGGCCACGCUGCAGAAGGCUAGCCUCUCCGACCCCCAGGGAGCAUGGCGUGGGCUGCAGGGACAGAACGCUUCUCAGAGGAGGUAGGGACCCCAUGGAGUACGUGACGCCGGGCCCUCCAGCUGCAUGCUCCAGUUAGCAGGACAGAGACCCCUCCCCACCCAUUCCCAGCCUUCCCUGGCUUCCUGUUCUGCUGCUGGGAGGCCCUGUCACCACACAUGCGCGUGCACGCGCUAACACACACACCCCUCCCAGGCACCCCCGGAAGACCAGCUGCAGCUGGGGGUGGGGGUGCACAGAGCACAGCCAGGGUUCUCAGAUCCCUAGCCUGCUCUCCCACCCUGCCCUAGCCCCCAACUGCCGAGCUGCUUCUAGGUUUAAAGCAAAACAUGACUCUGUCCUUCCUGCUGCUCAGUGGCAGCAACACUGCCUCGGGUUAUUUUUAGCAGGGAUGCAGGGAAGGCACAGUUCUCCUUGACUUUAACUAGGGACAACCCCCAACCCCCCGCCAAGACUCACUGGAGGAGGCCGGGUACGGAAACCCCCCUCCCAGAAAGGGGAAAUGGUGUGUUUUCUGUUCCUUCAAUUCACUAGAAUGGGAGUUGCAGUCAAGCUUGGGGUUGAACUGAUGGGAAAUUCUAGGUUCCAAAGCCUAUGUAUGGGCUCUGCCCCAUUCCUGGUCUCUGUGUUUCCAUGAAUCUGGGAAGCCAGAGGCACACAGUGUCUGGAGUCGAG